This 721-nucleotide ribosomal RNA is filed under the name uncultured bacterium. RNAcentral's name for it is "bacterial SSU rRNA". It matches the Rfam family "Bacterial small subunit ribosomal RNA", at positions 1 to 714 of the family's 1533-position model. The record is from RNAcentral.
CCCUUAGAGUUUGAUCCUGGCUCAGAGUGAACGCUGGCGGCGUGGAUUAGGCAUGCAAGUCGAGCGAACCCGCAAGGGUUAGCGGCAAACGGGUUAGUAACACGUAGGUAAUCUUCCCCAAAAACGGGUAUAGCAUCGUGAAAACGGUGGUAAUCCCCGAUGUGGUGCCAAUUGCAUAUGUAGUUGGUAUUAAAGGCAGGGACCUUCGGGCCUGCUGUUUUGGGAUGAGCCUGCGUCCUAUCAGCUAGUUGGUGAGGUAAUGGCCCACCAAGGCUUAUGACGGGUAGCUGGUCUGAGAGGACGAUCAGCAACACUGGGACUGAGACACUGCCCAGACUCCUACGGGAGGCUGCAGUCGAGAAUCUUUAGCAAUGGACGAAAGUCUGACUAUGCGACGCCGCGUGCAGGAUGAAGGCCUUCGGGUUGUAAACUGCUUUUGUUAGGGGAGAAUUCUCUUAAGUUAACAGCUUAAGAGUUGACGGUACCUAAAGAAUAAGCCACGGCCAACUCCGUGCCAGCAGCCGCGGUAAUACGGAGGUGGCGAGCGUUACUCGGAAUCAUUGGGUGUAAAGGGCAAGUAGGCGGUCAGUUAAGUGAGGGGUGAAAGCUUCCGACUCAAUCGGGAAAUUGCCUUUCAAACUAGCUGACUUGAGAUCGGAAGGGGGAAGCGGAAUUAGCGGUGUAAGGGUGAAAUCUGUAGAUAUCGCUAAGAACACCGGCG